Molecule: non-coding RNA, 72 nt
Organism: Enterobius vermicularis (human pinworm)
Lineage: Eukaryota; Metazoa; Nematoda; Chromadorea; Rhabditida; Oxyuridae
Source: Rfam
GGGGAAUUAGCUCAGGGGUAGAGCGCUCGCUUUGCAUGCGAGAAGUCGGGGGUUCGAUUCCCUCAUUCUCCA